This 253-nucleotide ribosomal RNA is filed under the name uncultured bacterium. RNAcentral describes it as "partial 16S ribosomal RNA". It matches the Rfam family "Bacterial small subunit ribosomal RNA", at positions 524 to 776 of the family's 1533-position model. The record is from RNAcentral.
UACAGAGGUCCCGAGCGUUGUUCGGAUUCAUUGGGCGUAAAGGGUGCGUAGGCGGUCUGCUAAGUUUGGUGUGAAAUCCCGGGGCUCAACCCUGGAAUGGCAUUGAAUACUGGCGGACUAGAGUACCGGAGAGGAAACUGGAAUUUACGGUGUAGCAGUGAAAUGCGUAGAGAUCGUAAGGAAGACCAGUGGCGAAGGCGAGUUUCUGGACGGUAACUGACGCUGAGGCACGAAAGCGUGGGGAGCAAACAGG